Molecule: ribosomal RNA, 525 nt
Filed under: uncultured bacterium
Lineage: Bacteria
Description: partial 16S ribosomal RNA
Rfam family: Bacterial small subunit ribosomal RNA
Source: RNAcentral
UGGGGAAUAUUGCACAAUGGGCGCAAGCCUGAUGCAGCCAUGCCGCGUGUGUGAAGAAGGCCUUCGGGUUGUAAAGCACUUUCAGCGAGGAGGAAGGUGGUGAGCUUAAUACGCUCAUCAAUUGACGUUACUCGCAGAAGAAGCACCGGCUAACUCCGUGCCAGCAGCCGCGGUAAUACGGAGGGUGCAAGCGUUAAUCGGAAUUACUGGGCGUAAAGCGCACGCAGGCGGUUUGUUAAGUCAGAUGUGAAAUCCCCGGGCUCAACCUGGGAACUGCAUUUGAAACUGGCAAGCUAGAGUCUCGUAGAGGGGGGUAGAAUUCCAGGUGUAGCGGUGAAAUGCGUAGAGAUCUGGAGGAAUACCGGUGGCGAAGGCGGCCCCCUGGACGAAGACUGACGCUCAGGUGCGAAAGCGUGGGGAGCAAACAGAUUAGAUACCCUGGUAGUCCACGCUGUAAACGAUGUCGAUUUUGGAGGUUGUGCCCCUUGAGGCGUGGCUUCCGGAGCUAACGCGUUAAAUCGACCG